Molecule: ribosomal RNA, 301 nt
Filed under: uncultured bacterium
Lineage: Bacteria
Description: partial 16S ribosomal RNA
Rfam family: Bacterial small subunit ribosomal RNA
Source: RNAcentral
CAGCCGCCGCGGGAAUACGAAGGGGGCUAGCGUUGUUCGGAUUUACUGGGCGUAAAGCGCACGUAGGCGGAUCUUUAAGUCAGAGGUGAAAUCCCAAGGCUCAACCUUGGAACUGCCUUUGAUACUGGGGAUCUCGAGUUCGGGAGAGGUGAGUGGAACUGCGAGUGUAGAGGUGAAAUUCGUAGAUAUUCGCAAGAACACCAGUGGCGAAGGCGGCUCACUGGCCCGAUACUGACGCUGAGGUGCGAAAGCGUGGGGAGCAAACAGGAUUAGAUACCCGCGUAGUCCCUGUCUCUUAUAC